This is a long non-coding RNA of Photinus pyralis (common eastern firefly), 101 nucleotides long. RefSeq lists it as uncharacterized. Lineage: Eukaryota; Metazoa; Arthropoda; Insecta; Coleoptera; Lampyridae. The transcript has 2 exons. The record is from RefSeq and is a predicted model, not a curated record.
UUUAAAUUCUAACGAAGAAUGAAACUGUCUCAUGCUGGAUAUCUUGCUUUACGUCUUACCAUCGCACAGAAUGUCCCAGCUGCGAGACAACAUUCUGACAA